AUGUGUCAAGUCAUUAAAAAUGUGCAGUCACUAGAAACUCGGCAAGUCACUAGGAAUGCGUCAAGGCAC
This is a non-coding RNA of Caenorhabditis elegans, 69 nucleotides long. The record is from Ensembl. Lineage: Eukaryota; Metazoa; Nematoda; Chromadorea; Rhabditida; Rhabditidae.